RNAcentral lists this ribosomal RNA (333 nucleotides) under uncultured fungus. RNAcentral describes it as "partial 18S ribosomal RNA". The stretch from base 68 to 333 matches the Rfam family "Eukaryotic small subunit ribosomal RNA", at positions 643 to 905 of the family's 1831-position model. Lineage: Eukaryota; Fungi. The record is from RNAcentral.
AACGGGUGCAGAGGGGAGUGGUUGUUUACUGGUUUCCCAAGGGGGAUCAAUUUCUGUGUGAGGGAGGGGGGUAACCUCUUUUCUUGCUCAGGGUUGGUUUCUCUAAGGUUAGCCUUAUACCCUUCUUCUAAAGACUUGGUAUACUCUUAAUCGGGCGUACCAAGGAUUUAGGACUUUUACAUUGAAAAAAUUAGAGUGUUCAAAGCAGGCAACUUUUUUGCUUGAAUACAUUAGCAUGGAAUAAUAAAAUAGGACUUUUGGUCUUAUUUUGUUGGUUUCUAAGACCGAAGUAAUGAUUAAUAGGGAUAGUUGGGGUGGUUAGUAUUUAAUUGU